UGGGGAAUAUUGGACAAUGGGCGCAAGCCUGAUCCAGCCAUGCCGCGUGAGUGAUGAAGGCCCUAGGGUUGUAAAGCUCUUUCACCGGUGAAGAUAAUGACGGUAACCGGAGAAGAAGCCCCGGCUAACUUCGUGCCAGCAGCCGCGGUAAUACGAAGGGGGCUAGCGUUGUUCGGAUUUACUGGGCGUAAAGCGCACGUAGGCGGACUUUUAAGUCAGGGGUGAAAUCCCGGGGCUCAACCCCGGAACUGCCUUUGAUACUGGAAGUCUUGAGUAUGGUAGAGGUGAGUGGAAUUCCGGGUGUAGAGGUGAAAUUCGUAGAUAUUCGGAGGAACCCCAGUGGCGAAGGCGGCUCACUGGACCAUUACUGACGCUGGGGUGCGAAAGCGUGGGGAGCAAACAGG
This 404-nucleotide ribosomal RNA is filed under the name Actinomycetes bacterium. RNAcentral describes it as "Actinobacteria bacterium partial 16S ribosomal RNA". It matches the Rfam family "Bacterial small subunit ribosomal RNA", at positions 355 to 776 of the family's 1533-position model. Lineage: Bacteria; Bacillati; Actinomycetota; Actinomycetes. The record is from RNAcentral.